AGAGUUUGAUCCUGGCUCAGAACGAACGCUGGCGGCGUGCCUAACACAUGCAAGUCGAACGGAGUGAAGGAGCUUGCUCUUUCAUUUAGUGGCGCACGGGUGAGUAACGCGUAGAUAAUCUGCCUUGGACUCUGGGAUAACAUCUCGAAAGGGGUGCUAAUACCGGAUAAGCCCACGAUGGCGUAAGUCAUUGCGGGAAAAGGGGGCCUCUGAAUAUGCUCCUGAUUCAAGAUGAGUCUGCGUACCAUUAGCUAGUUGGUAGGGUAAGAGCCUACCAAGGCGACGAUGGUUAGCUGGUCUGAGAGGAUGAUCAGCCACACUGGAACUGAGACACGGUCCAGACUCCUACGGGAGGCAGCAGUGGGGAAUUUUGCGCAAUGGGGGAAACCCUGACGCAGCAACGCCGCGUGAGUGAUGAAGGCUUUCGGG
RNAcentral lists this ribosomal RNA (429 nucleotides) under uncultured bacterium. RNAcentral's name for it is "bacterial SSU rRNA". It matches the Rfam family "Bacterial small subunit ribosomal RNA", at positions 8 to 422 of the family's 1533-position model. The record is from RNAcentral.